This 272-nucleotide unclassified non-coding RNA is filed under the name Basidiomycota sp. RNAcentral's name for it is "partial contains small subunit ribosomal RNA, internal transcribed spacer 1, and 5.8S ribosomal RNA". The stretch from base 1 to 47 matches the Rfam family "Eukaryotic small subunit ribosomal RNA", at positions 1785 to 1831 of the family's 1831-position model. Lineage: Eukaryota; Fungi; Basidiomycota. The record is from RNAcentral.
AAAGUCGUAACAAGGUUUCCGUAGGUGAACCUGCGGAAGGAUCAUUACCAAAUCCAAAUUACCUAACCCCGUGUGAACUAUUGUUUAGUCUGUCUUUGGGAAAAGAAUUCUUAUUUCUUUUUAUUCGUUUAAGAGAAAAGCGGUUCUUUUCCCAAAAGAAUCCGGCCUAGUGUUGGAUUCAAAAACCUUUUUAAACCACUUGAUUUUAUGUUGGAAUUUCUUUUAUAAUUAAUAAUAAAAGACAACUUUUAACGGCGGAUCUCUUGGCUCGU